Molecule: ribosomal RNA, 425 nt
Filed under: uncultured bacterium
Lineage: Bacteria
Description: partial 16S ribosomal RNA
Rfam family: Bacterial small subunit ribosomal RNA
Source: RNAcentral
GUGGGGAAUCUUGCGCAAUGGGCGAAAGCCUGACGCAGCCAUGCCGCGUGAAUGAUGAAGGUCUUAGGAUUGUAAAAUUCUUUCACCGGGGACGAUAAUGACGGUACCCGGAGAAGAAGCUCCGGCUAACUUCGUGCCAGCAGCCGCGGUAAUACGAAGGGGGCUAGCGUUGCUCGGAAUUACUGGGCGUUAAGGGCGCGUAGGCGGACAGCUUAGUCAGAGGUGAAAGCCCAGGGCUCAACCUUGGAAUUGCCUUUGAUACUGGCUGUCUUGAGUUUGGGAGAGGUGAGUGGAACUCCGAGUGUGGAGGUGAAAUUCGUAGAUAUUCGGAAGAACACCAGUGGCGAAGGCGACUCACUGGCCCAAUACUGACGCUGAGGCGCGAAAGCGUGGGGAGCAAACAGGAUUAGAUACCCGAGUAGUCC